GGGCGAUUAGCUCAGCUGGUUAGAGCGUUUGCUUGACAUGCAAAAGGUCGGAGGUUCGAGUCCUCUAUCGCCCA
Molecule: transfer RNA, 74 nt
Filed under: Candidatus Omnitrophota bacterium
Lineage: Bacteria; Pseudomonadati; Candidatus Omnitrophota
Description: Candidatus Omnitrophica bacterium (groundwater metagenome) tRNA-Val
Rfam family: tRNA
About the family: Transfer RNA (tRNA) molecules are approximately 80 nucleotides in length. Their secondary structure includes four short double-helical elements and three loops (D, anti-codon, and T loops).
Source: RNAcentral